Molecule: ribosomal RNA, 497 nt
Filed under: uncultured bacterium
Lineage: Bacteria
Description: partial 16S ribosomal RNA
Rfam family: Bacterial small subunit ribosomal RNA
Source: RNAcentral
GAUGAACGCUGGCGGCGUGCCUAAUACAUGCAAGUCGAGCGAACGGACGAGAAGCUUGCUUCUCUGAUGUUAGCGGCGGACGGGUGAGUAACACGUGGAUAACCUACCUAUAAGACUGGGAUAACUUCGGGAAACCGUAGCUAGUACCGGAUAAUAUUUUGAACCGCAUGGUUCAAAAGUGAAAGACGGUCUUGCUGUCACUUAUAGAUGGAUCCGCGCUGCAUUAGCUAGUUGGUAAGGUAACGGCUUACCAAGGCAACGAUGCAUAGCCGACCUGAGAGGGUGAUCGGCCACACUGGAACUGAGACACGGUCCAGACUCCUACGGGAGGCAGCAGUAGGGAAUCUUCCGCAAUGGGCGAAAGCCUGACGGAGCAACGCCGCGUGAGUGAUGAAGGUCUUCGGAUCGUAAAACUCUGUUAUUAGGGAAGAACAUAUAUGUAAGUAACUGUGCACAUCUUGACGGUACCUAAUCAGAAAGCCACGGCUAACUACGUG